CACGUAGGGGGCGAGCGUUGUCCGGAUUCAUUGGGCGUAAAGGGCGCGCAGGCGGCUCGGAAAGUCGGGUGUGAAAACUCGGGGCUCAACCCCGGGCGUGCAUCCGAUACUGCCGGGCUUGAGGCAGGUAGGGGAGAUCGGAAUUCCUGGUGUAGCGGUGAAAUGCGCAGAUAUCAGGAGGAACACCGGUGGCGAAGGCGGGUCUCUGGACAGUUCCUGACACUGAGACACGAAGGCUAGGGGAGCAAACGGG
This 253-nucleotide ribosomal RNA is filed under the name uncultured bacterium. Its description in RNAcentral is "partial 16S ribosomal RNA". It matches the Rfam family "Bacterial small subunit ribosomal RNA", at positions 524 to 776 of the family's 1533-position model. The record is from RNAcentral.